Molecule: ribosomal RNA, 210 nt
Filed under: uncultured Lactobacillus sp.
Lineage: Bacteria; Bacillati; Bacillota; Bacilli; Lactobacillales; Lactobacillaceae
Description: partial 16S ribosomal RNA
Rfam family: Bacterial small subunit ribosomal RNA
Source: RNAcentral
GGAAACAGAUGCUAAUACCGGAUAACAACAGAUGAUGCCUAUCAACUGUUUAAAAGAUGGUUCUGCUAUCACUAUUGGAUGGACCUGCGGUGCAUUAGCUAGUUGGUAGGGUAACGGCCUACCAAGGCGAUGAUGCAUAGCCGAGUUGAGAGACUGAUCGGCCACAUUGGGACUGAGACACGGCACAAACUCCUACGGGAGGCAGCAGCC